UACGAAGGGGGCUAGCGUUGCUCGGAAUCACUGGGCGUAAAGCGCACGUAGGCGGCUUUUUAAGUCAGGGGUGAAAUCCCGGAGCUCAACUCCGGAACUGCCUUUGAUACUGAAAAGCUUGAGUUCGGGAGAGGUGAGUGGAACUGCGAGUGUAGAGGUGAAAUUCGUAGAUAUUCGCAAGAACACCAGUGGCGAAGGCGGCUCACUGGCCCGAUACUGACGCUGAGGUGCGAAAGCGUGGGGAGCAA
RNAcentral lists this ribosomal RNA (248 nucleotides) under uncultured bacterium. RNAcentral describes it as "partial 16S ribosomal RNA". It matches the Rfam family "Bacterial small subunit ribosomal RNA", at positions 524 to 771 of the family's 1533-position model. The record is from RNAcentral.